CGUAACAAGGUUUCGGUAGGUGAACCUGCGGAAGGAUCAUUACCGAGUGCGGGCCCCUCGGGGCCCAACCUCCCACCCGUGUUGCCCGAACCUAUGUUGCCUCGGCGGGCCCCGCGCCCGCCGACGGCCCCCCUGAACGCUGUCUGAAGUUGCAGUCUGAGACCUAUAACGAAAUUAGUUAAAACUUUCAACAACGGAUCUCUUGGUUCCGGCAUCGAUGAAGAACGCAGCGAAAUGCGAUAACUAAUGUGAAUUGCAGAAUUCAGUGAAUCAUCGAGUCUUUGAACGCACAUUGCGCCCUCUGGUAUUCCGGAGGGCAUGCCUGUCCGAGCGUCAUUGCUGCCCUCAAGCCCGGCUUGUGUGUUGGGCCCCGUCCCCCCCGCCGGGGGGACGGGCCCGAAAGGCAGCGGCGGCACCGCGUCCGGUCCUCGAGCGUAUGGGGCUUCGUCACCCGCUCUAGUAGGCCCGGCCGGCGCCAGCCGACCCCCAACCUUUAAUUAUCUCAGGUUGACCUCGGAUCAGGUAGGGAUACCCGCUGAACUUAAGCAUAUCAA
RNAcentral lists this ribosomal RNA (554 nucleotides) under uncultured fungus. Its description in RNAcentral is "eukaryotic LSU rRNA". The stretch from base 183 to 336 matches the Rfam family "5.8S ribosomal RNA". The record is from RNAcentral. Lineage: Eukaryota; Fungi.